RNAcentral lists this long non-coding RNA (765 nucleotides) under Trifolium pratense (red clover). Its description in RNAcentral is "long non-coding RNA (TPRA_LNC013433)". The record is from RNAcentral. Lineage: Eukaryota; Viridiplantae; Streptophyta; Magnoliopsida; Fabales; Fabaceae.
GAUUCCAAAAGGGGAAAAAAAGAGAAACAAUAAUAUUUCAAUGGAUAAGUGCCAAAGAGAUUAAUAUGCUACAUUUGCUUUGUCAGAUAGCCUGUCAACUUCAGUGUAAAUUCAUUCAGGCUGUUCAGAGAUUAUUGAAUAUGAAGGUUUUGGGAGUAGCCAGGACAAAAGCUUUUAGCAUUGUCCUUUUUUAUGGAGUCUAAUUCCACAACUUCUAUUAGGAGGCAGGCUUCCUUUUAUAGCCUCUCAGCUGGGUUUCCCAUUGUGAUUUAAGGGUGAUUUGCAAAGGAGCUAGUUUACUAUUUUAAGCUGAUUUUUUUUCCUUCAACUGCUGUUAGCUUUGUAGCUUUUGGAGGAUUCAUGAACCCUCUUAUUUUUCAUUUCUUGUUUCUUAAUGAUUUCUUGUUUCAUUUCUUAGCUUUUAGACGAGUAUCUACGAUGAUACAAGAAACUAAUUUAAUGACUGUGAAGACGUUCUCAUUUUUGUAAUGCGUGUUAAACUUAUCAUAUAUUAAACUAUGAAGAUGCUUCCAGAUUAGGCGACAUUUUUUUCUUCAGUUUUGCCCCCAAAUAAAUGCAAUGUGCAUCACUCUCAAAUCAUUAUACUUUACUGUGCAUUUAUGACAAUAGUUAAUAAAGAAAAUUUAGUAAAAUUGUUAGUAUCACAAUCCUAGUUAAUUAAUCCUAAAAACAAUUAUUCACCCUAAGUCAUGGCAAUUUGUAACAGAAACAAAGCUUGCUUACAAGUCUUCAAAUCACAUUUCU